Molecule: ribosomal RNA, 459 nt
Filed under: uncultured bacterium
Lineage: Bacteria
Description: partial 16S ribosomal RNA
Rfam family: Bacterial small subunit ribosomal RNA
Source: RNAcentral
CCUACGGGCGGCAGCAGUGAGGAAUAUUGGUCAAUGGCCGAGAGGCUGAACCAGCCAAGUCGCGUGAGGGAAGACGGCCCUACGGGUUGUAAACCCCUUUUGUCGGGGAGCAAAGCGAGUCACGUGUGACUCAUUGAGAGUACCCGAAGAAAAAGCAUCGGUCAACUCCGUGCCAGCAGCCGCGGUAAUACGGAGGAUGCGAGCGUUAUCCGGAUUUAGUGGGUUUAAAGGGUGCGCAGGCGGAGGUGCAAGUAAGCGGGAAAAUUGCGGGGCUCAACCCCGGACUGCCGUUGAAACUGCAUGCCUUGAGUGCGCGAGAGGUAUGCGGAAUUCGUGGUGUAGCGGUGAAAUGCGUAGAUAUCACGCAGAACUCCGAUUGCGAAGGCAGCAUACCGGCGCGCAACUGACGCUCAUGCACGAAAGCGUGGGUAUCGAACAGGAUUAGAUACCCCAGUAGUC